Long non-coding RNA from Manacus vitellinus (golden-collared manakin), 1961 nucleotides. RefSeq lists it as uncharacterized. The transcript is spliced from 3 exons. The record is from RefSeq and is a predicted model, not a curated record. Lineage: Eukaryota; Metazoa; Chordata; Aves; Passeriformes; Pipridae.
CAGUGGAGUUGCAAAUAGUAGUGAACUUCCUAGAGCUGUUUAGUUUUGGUUUAUUGUUGGUGGAUUUUUUACCGUCCUUACCGAUGCAAGAAUAAUUAACGUGUUACUCUGCUCAUUACACAGGAUGUUAUGUGUCACUUGGACUUGGAGAAGUGCUGAAUUUGAGGCAGAUCCAUGGAAGGAUGUACUGUGCCCCCUUUGCCUGGUCACUGCUUGGCAGUGUGGAAAAAAAAUGAGUUCUGACUGAAAUGUUUGUAUGGCCCAGGUUGGAAAUGAAUUAACAACACACUGCAGUAAUUGAUUCUUUAGGGCUUGAAAGUGGGAAGAAAACAGCAGUUUGUGGCUAGAUAGGCACUUGCUAUGGUGAGGAAGCAGAUACAUAAAUGAAAUAAUACAUCCUUGCUGUAUAGAACGUUGUCUGGAGAGAUGGUUCUUUAAUUGUAUGUCCUAUAUGACUGUAGGACAAGGAAGUCCUGAAUUGAGAUUUCUAUUUGUUUACAUAAUAUAGAAUGGUGUUGGGGUUUCUCUUACUUUUUUCUAGGCAAAAGUGCAUGUUUCUUCCACAGUCAAAUAUUUAGGAUAUUAUAAAUAACUUCUCAGCAAUGCAUAGUUUCUUUGCAUGAAAAUGGGACGAUGUGAGUAAUGAAUGUUGACUUGGAAUUACAGCCAGUAUGGUAAUGAAAUAAAGCCCCAUUAGAUUUAAGUAAUUUGCAAAUUGAGGUUGUUAUCACAUAAAUAAUUGUAUCCCUGGCUGAUGUGAGGGAAGGGUCAUAUCAGUCAAUCAAGUAGGAAAAAAGACUUUUAAAGAAAUGUAAUCAAGCAUGGAUGUUAAAUUAUGGAUUAAUUCCAUACAUGCACAGCAGUAAAUUCCCACCAGUAGACAGCUGUCAAGGUUACCUAGAAAACUUUGCUACAUUUAUUUUCAAUGUGAUAAUUCUGCUCUUGUUCUACUUCUACAAAAGCUCCAGGUAAUUAUUUUUUGUGUAAAUUCCAACAACACAUCAGUUUAUCACAAUGCUUGUAUUAGUCAUAUAUACUUAAAAUUAACUAAAAGUUAUUCAGAUGCUAAAUAGGUGCAUGUAUUGUUCAGUUUCUAGGUCAAUUUUGGCUUUCUUAACUUGUGCCUUUCAAAAGAGUAGGCAUAAAAAAUCAUGUUUGAAAGAUUCAUCCAUUGAAUCACUGGAGUUGUAGUAAAUUAGUAUUUUUACCUGAAGGAGGUAGAGGAGAAUCAGAAUGCAUCACAAAUCUCUGUGAACCAAGAGUGUUUCAGCCUCUCUGUAUAAGCCUGGUUGUGUUCUGCUGUGGAGAUGUUUUGUUGCCACUGGGUUUCUCCUGACAGAAGGUUUGACCAGGGGUGUGUAUAACUAUAGGGCAUCUGAUCUAUUUCUUUACCUUCCUUAAUUAAAAUCAGAUCUAUUUGUUAGAAAACAUUGUGGAAAACCUAGAGGCACCAAAAGGGAGCCUUCAAUACAGAAACUAACUGCAAACCUCUGGAAACACUGAAGCUCAAAACAAUGAAAAUCUCUGCAGUUAUGGCAAAGCAGAGUAUCAAAGGACAGCAAAGUCACCCUGACAGGAUGAAGUCAGACAUCUGGCACUGACUGGGUGUCCCCUGCAAGGCUGUGCUCCAUUCCAGUCGUUCUCCUGUGUGGCUGUAAAAAGGACAUGAUGUUUUUUUCCAUCACACACCUUGUCUCCUGGCAUUGAAUGCUAUAGCUGAGAUGUGCAGGUGGAGGAGGAAUUUGCUUAUUGCCAAAGGAAACUCCAAAGCAGAAAAAGGCUGAGCUAGUCAAAGGAAACGUGUGAAGAACCUUCUGUUGGAUCACGGAGUACAGUCAGUGAAUGGUUCUCUGGGAUAUGAAGUGCUGGAAAAGCAUUCUGGGUACAAGCCCAAGCAAGGAAGGCUUCUCAGUUAACCUCUGGAUGUCAGGAGCCAAAUGCCCAGGAUUUGCUGCAUCCAA